This is a long non-coding RNA of Rhipicephalus sanguineus (brown dog tick), 996 nucleotides long. RefSeq lists it as uncharacterized. The record is from RefSeq and is a predicted model, not a curated record. NCBI's taxonomy places the organism in Eukaryota, Metazoa, Arthropoda, Arachnida, Ixodida, Ixodidae. The transcript has 4 exons.
GUACCAGUCCAUGUUUCCGACGCGGGUGAAGGUUACCGGUUGGGACACGCUUUCUUGUGCCGCAUCAUCGGCGCUGGCAGCAUCUUCGGUCGUCGUUCCUACAGUGGCGACCGGCUCGACAUGUAACAGCAACUACACGCCGAUUUCAACAAAAGAAAAGAAAAACACGGCAUCGCCUGCUGGAAUGCGCCGUCAGCUGUCUUCACAAUUCCGUCGAUGAUGCCACGGAGCUUCGACCAAUCACAGGCGGCGGCGAGACUCGCAAUGCCGGCCGAGGCGCCUGUUGCUCGUUUUCGGCAAAAUAGUUGUUUUUCCUAAAGGUGCAUUGCAGGUUUCGCUGCAAUGCAUCUUUUCAUAAAACUUCCCGUCGAGCCUCACAAACUUCGCCAACAUCAACCAAACUUCACAGGUUCGAACACUGAAUAAUCAAGAUUGGGUCACUUCAAUGAUUUAAGCAGUCAUCAAGAACUUUAUUGACAAGUCCUGAGGAGUUUAAGCCGCCGGGGAAUCCACGAGGGACACCCUAGCAGCCGCUACCGUAGGCGACGCCCGAGUCGGGGCGGGAACGUGGUGGCGUUCCGCCAGUUCUUGGGCCCUCCAGACUGCCUUGAGUUGGGGGUGGAGCUCGGAGCUACUGAGUGCCUCUUCCCAGUCGAACUAACUGGUGACUGGUCCCCGAGGAUCCGGAGAGUAGCAGAAUUCGCGACGUGUCCUGCGCUGCCCAGGGGUUCAGCUGUUUCGACAAUGCUUCGCAGCGGCUCGGUUACCCAUACCAGCGUACUUGGUGUCUUCUCCAUCUGGUACUCUGGGGUUCUGUCGAUCAAGUGUUCUGCACGACCGAGCGUGCUUGUCAGCGAGUUGCGUUCUCACCGCAAUCGAGAUGUUCAACCAUUGCAGUACCGGUGGACCAAGAGCAGCUGAGUUCAAGGACUAUCAAAUGCUGGGUGAAGAGGAGAAGGCUGGAGGUCGGCGAAAGUGAAGGUGAUUCCGUGAGCG